This 498-nucleotide unclassified non-coding RNA is filed under the name uncultured Glomus. RNAcentral describes it as "SSU rRNA". It matches the Rfam family "Eukaryotic small subunit ribosomal RNA", at positions 569 to 1074 of the family's 1831-position model. Lineage: Eukaryota; Fungi; Glomeromycota; Glomeromycetes; Glomerales; Glomeraceae. The record is from RNAcentral.
AGCAGCCGCGGUAAUUCCAGCUCCAAUAGCGUAUAUUAAAGUUGUUGCAGUUAAAAGCUCGUAGUUGAAUUUCGGGAUCAAUAUGUUGGUCGUGCCUCGGUACGUACUAGCAUAUUGGUUCCUCCUUUCUGAAGAACCAUGAUGUCAUUUAUUUGGUGUCGUGGGGAAUCAGGACUGUUACUUUGAAAAAAUUAGAGUGUUUAAAGCAGGCUCACGCUUGAAUACAUUAGCAUGGAAUAAUGAAAUAGGACGUUUGAUUCUAUUUUGUUGGUUUCUAGGAUCGACGUAAUGAUUAAUAGGGAUAGUUGGGGGCAUUAGUAUUCAAUUGUCAGAGGUGAAAUUCUUGGAUUUAUUGAAGACUAACUACUGCGAAAGCAUUUGCCAAGGAUGUUUUCAUUAAUCAAGAACGAAAGUUAGGGGAUCGAAGACGAUCAGAUACCGUCGUAGUCUUAACCAUAAACUAUGCCGACUAGGGAUCGGAUGAUGUUAAUUUUUUAA